RNAcentral lists this ribosomal RNA (468 nucleotides) under uncultured bacterium. RNAcentral describes it as "partial 16S ribosomal RNA". It matches the Rfam family "Bacterial small subunit ribosomal RNA", at positions 28 to 507 of the family's 1533-position model. The record is from RNAcentral.
GACGAACGCUGGCGGCGUGCUUAACACAUGCAAGUCGAACGGAAAGGCCCUUCUUUUGUGGGGUGCUCGAGUGGCGAACGGGUGAGUAACACGUGAGUAACCUGCCCUUGACUUUGGGAUAACUUCAGGAAACUGGGGCUAAUACCGGAUAGGAGCUCCUGCUGCAUGGUGGGGGUUGGAAAGUUUCGGCGGUUGGGGAUGGACUCGCGGCUUAUCAGCUUGUUGGUGGGGUAGUGGCUUACCAAGGCUUUGACGGGUAGCCGGCCUGAGAGGGUGACCGGCCACAUUGGGACUGAGAUACGGCCCAGACUCCUACGGGAGGCAGCAGUGGGGAAUAUUGCACAAUGGGCGGAAGCCUGAUGCAGCAACGCAGCGUGCGGGAUGACGGCCUUCGGGUUGUAAACCGCUUUCGCCUGUGACGAAGCGUGAGUGACGGUAAUGGGUAAAGAAGCACCGGCUAACUACGUG